Molecule: ribosomal RNA, 253 nt
Filed under: uncultured bacterium
Lineage: Bacteria
Description: partial 16S ribosomal RNA
Rfam family: Bacterial small subunit ribosomal RNA
Source: RNAcentral
UACAGAGGGUGCGAGCGUUAAUCGGAAUUACUGGGCGUAAAGCGCACGUAGGUGGCGACGUAAGUCGGGUGUGAAAGCCCCGGGCUCAACCUGGGAAUUGCAUUCGAGACUGCAUUGCUGGAGUACGGAAGAGGAGGGCGGAAUUCCCGGUGUAGCGGUGAAAUGCGUAGAUAUCGGGAGGAACAUCAGUGGCGAAGGCGGUUACCUGGAGCUUUGCUGACGCUGAUGCGCGAAAGCGUGGGGAGCGAUCCGG